This 253-nucleotide ribosomal RNA is filed under the name uncultured bacterium. RNAcentral describes it as "partial 16S ribosomal RNA". It matches the Rfam family "Bacterial small subunit ribosomal RNA", at positions 524 to 776 of the family's 1533-position model. The record is from RNAcentral.
UACAGAGGGUGCGAGCGUUGUCCGGAAUCACUGGGCGUAAAGGGCGCGUAGGCGGCCUGAUAAGUAGGGGUUGAAAUCUUGCGGCUCAACCGCAAGGCUGCCUUCUAAACUGUCAGGCUGGAGCACGGUAGAGGCAGAUGGAAUUCCCGGUGUAGCGGUGGAAUGCGUAGAGAUCGGGAAGAACACCAGUGGCGAAGGCGGUCUGCUGGGCAGUAGCUGACGCUGAGGCGCGACAGCGUGGGGAGCAAACAGG